Molecule: long non-coding RNA, 942 nt
Filed under: Solanum lycopersicum (tomato)
Lineage: Eukaryota; Viridiplantae; Streptophyta; Magnoliopsida; Solanales; Solanaceae
Description: partial TCONS_00156291
Source: RNAcentral
UCGAAUUUAUAAUAUUGGAAAGUUAAAACUCAGUUCUAGGCUUGGAAUCGGAGAAUAUGAAACUUGACAUAUUAAUCGGAUCAAAACUUAUGAACUUGACUAUAGUUUUGGGUGAAUUUUUAAUUUAGGCUAGAUAUAUAGCAAUAUGGUUGUUGUAGUUUUGAAAGCUUACUCUGACUAUGUACUUGAAUAGAUUCCAUUGAUUUGGAAGCUCAACGGAAAGGGAAGGCUCAAGUCCAAGAGUAAUUAUUCGAUUGGCUAAGGCAAGUUGAUUUCUAAACUCUUGUUAAGCGUAUGAAAUUCGUGUAUUUCCUUGUGUGAUGUUGAGAACGAUUUGGAGACUUGUUGCUUAUUUGUUAGUGUUGUAUUCCUUGCUGUAAAUUGUGUUUUUGUUAUCAAAAUGGUUAUCUCCUCAUUUUCAUUUGAGCAUGUCAAUUGUAUUGUAUAUGAGACAUGAUUGUGGUAUAAGAAUGUAUCAUUUCGAGGGUCGUAUCGCGCGCCGCGAUGGAUAUUAUAUUCGAGGGACGUAUUGCGCGCCGCGAAGGUUACUAUUAUCGAGGGUCGUGUCAUACGCCGCGACAGGUGCAUGGACAGAUAUGUCCCCCAUGGGUUCCGGACUGAGAGACAGCGGGUGUGUAUCGUUAGGGAAUACAUGCAUCACUAUACUUGACAUUGCAUCUCAUGGCAUUGCACAUCUUAUUAUUGAUGAACUUGAAAACGUGUUUUGCUGACCUUGUGAGUGUUUCUCUGUGAAGCCUGUGACUGUUGAAUGUUGAGUUGUUAUUGAGAAUGUGUAAACUGAUAGAGUGUGGUUAUUGAGUUGUGUUUGGUAAAUUGUAAACUGUUAGGCUGUAGCGUAGAGGUUUAGAUAGGGUGUAAGGAGUGCCCGUAUUUUGUUCACUUAACUUGUGUUUAGAGGUUUGUUUGUUGGGUACCGCGUGG